Molecule: ribosomal RNA, 1450 nt
Filed under: uncultured bacterium
Lineage: Bacteria
Description: bacterial SSU rRNA
Rfam family: Bacterial small subunit ribosomal RNA
Source: RNAcentral
GAUGAACGCUAGCUAUAGGCUUAACACAUGCAAGUCGAGGGGCAGCAUGGUCUUAGCUUGCUAAGGCCGAUGGCGACCGGCGCACGGGUGAGUAACACGUAUCCAACCUGCCGUCUACUCUUGGACAGCCUUCUGAAAGGAAGAUUAAUACAAGAUGGCAUCAUGAGUCCACAUGUUCACAUGAUUAAAGGUAUUCCGGUAGACGAUGGGGAUGCGUUCCAUUAGAUAGUAGGCGGGGUAACGGCCCACCUAGUUUUCGAUGGAUAGGGGUUCUGAGAGGAAGGUCCCCCACAUUGGAACUGAGACACGGUCCAAACUCCUACGGGAGGCAGCAGUGAGGAAUAUUGGUCAAUGGGCGAGAGCCUGAACCAGCCAAGUAGCGUGAAGGAUGACUGCCCUAUGGGUUGUAAACUUCUUUUAUAAAGGAAUAAAGUCGGGUAUGCAUACCCGUUUGCAUGUACUUUAUGAAUAAGGAUCGGCUAACUCCGUGCCAGCAGCCGCGGUAAUACGGAGGAUCCGAGCGUUAUCCGGAUUUAUUGGGUUUAAAGGGAGCGUAGAUGGAUGUUUAAGUCAGUUGUGAAAGUUUGCGGCUCAACCGUAAAAUUGCAGUUGAUACUGGAUAUCUUGAGUGCAGUUGAGGCAGGCGGAAUUCGUGGUGUAGCGGUGAAAUGCUUAGAUAUCACGAAGAACUCCGAUUGCGAAGGCAGCCUGCUAAGCUGCAACUGACAUUGAGGCUCGAAAGUGUGGGUAUCAAACAGGAUUAGAUACCCUGGUAGUCCACACGGUAAACGAUGAAUACUCGCUGUUUGCGAUAUACUGCAAGCGGCCAAGCGAAAGCGUUAAGUAUUCCACCUGGGGAGUACGCCGGCAACGGUGAAACUCAAAGGAAUUGACGGGGGCCCGCACAAGCGGAGGAACAUGUGGUUUAAUUCGAUGAUACGCGAGGAACCUUACCCGGGCUUAAAUUGCAGAUGAAUUACGGUGAAAGCCGUAAGCCGCAAGGCAUCUGUGAAGGUGCUGCAUGGUUGUCGUCAGCUCGUGCCGUGAGGUGUCGGCUUAAGUGCCAUAACGAGCGCAACCCUUGUUGUCAGUUACUAACAGGUUCCGCUGAGGACUCUGACAAGACUGCCAUCGUAAGAUGUGAGGAAGGUGGGGAUGACGUCAAAUCAGCACGGCCCUUACGUCCGGGGCUACACACGUGUUACAAUGGGGGGUACAGAGGGCCGCUACCACGCGAGUGGAUGCCAAUCCCAAAAACCUCUCUCAGUUCGGACUGGAGUCUGCAACCCGACUCCACGAAGCUGGAUUCGCUAGUAAUCGCGCAUCAGCCACGGCGCGGUGAAUACGUUCCCGGGCCUUGUACACACCGCCCGUCAAGCCAUGGGAGCCGGGGGUACCUGAAGUGCGUAACCGCGAGGAGCGCCCUAGGGUAAAACUGGUGACUGGGGCU